CACAUUUUUUAUAGAUUACUGUCCAGUCCAGGGCUGGGGUAAUGCGGGCUGUCAGCAGCUGGGGCGAGAGGCUGAGGGACGAGCGGGCUGCGGCCGCUCCCUCCCAAGGGCACUGAGGCACCAUUUCUUCACCAGCCGUGAGGAGAACUUUGAUAUAUUACGUUAUUUUUUUUUUUCCACAGAAAGAUCUACUUAACGUGAUUACACAUGCACAGGUACGUCUUUUCCGGCAUAUCGAGUAUAAAGGCUUGCUUUCUGUAUUAUAAUCUCUCCAAAGGCAUCUUAAAACGUUCUCCCUUGUGCUUGAAUCUCGAGAAACCCGAUACAGUCCCAAGGGUAAAAAAAAGCCACGUUUAAAGGAUGGUCUCGGUUAUAUUUAGCUGAGCAGCAGCACAGGCUGACACGAGCAGAAACACAAGGAAGAACGGAGUGAAAACGUUGGUAGCAAUUGGUAACAAAAACCUACGAGUAUCUGAGGCGGAUUUUUUUUUUUUUAAUUUUCCUUUCCCUAAUUCACAUUUUGGCACGCAGAGAGAACAUUAAAGCAGCACAUGGGUUUAUGUGAACAAAAGGUAAGGAUGAGGUGUUUCACCUGACUCUGACAGGAUUUACUGUUGCCUUUGUGUAAUGGAAAAGGCUUCCUACUCUAAGAAAUUCUUUCAUUUUCUUUCAUAAAUCUUAACCUAAUUCUUUUCCCAUACAAACACAAGGCUGCUAAACCCUAUCGUUCUACCAGAAGAGAUUAAAAAUUUUCAGCUCAUAUCUAUGAAAUGUAUGUGGAAUUAUUUAACCUCAACAAAAGCCAUCUCACAGAUGCUUCAAUAAAGACUAAACAGCUACGUUUAACCUCGUUUUUCCUGAUUUUUCAUCUGUCCUCAGCACAGGAAUCUUCAAACCCACUCAAAAUCCCAAAUCCCAGCUAAAUCAGUGACUCAUCACUUCUGGCAGCAAGCGAUGUGGGAAGGAGGAGAUGAAGACAAUAGUCUUCAAAUAGUAGAGAAAGCUCUUGGAAAAACUACAAGCAAGGAAAGCCAAACUUCUUCACCACCUUUCUGCUGCUUUUUCACAGCUCCUGAAGGACAGUGCCUGGCACAAAGUUCCCACAAGUUCUGAACAUGCACCAAGUUUUCAGGGCAGAGAACACAGCUUUGCCAGCUGAGACCAACAGGACAAGACUUGAGUGACCAAGUUCUUAAAUUUCAGAAGAAUGCAAUGUCAUAAAGACCUUAAAUAAUACCACAGCCUCACAAAAUUGGUCAUUUCCACUUACAAAAAAAGCCAUGAGAGUAUCUCCAGCUUGCUAAAAUCCUCAAGACCACCACAGAAAAUGCAGACAAUAAUUAUUCUCCAGACAAAUGAAGCUGGAUACGUUACACAACAAGUGGGAGCACCAAACCAGGGAAAAGGGGAGUAUCGUCUACUUUUCCAUUAUUACAACUAGAAAUUGCCAAGAAAAUGAAAUGCUCGAGCACAGCAGACACUGCUUUUCUUCUCGUUAAAUCUUAAAGCUUGGUUCCAGUGGGAUCAUAUUCAGUCCUCUCAAAUUCAGAACAGAAUUUCAUCCUGCCUCAACAUCCCAACAAUGACAUUUUAUAAAUAUUACGAGUUUCUUGGACGCCUUUCUCAUUCCACAAGGAGCAGAGAAGCACUCUGUUUAGGGAUUUUUUUCUUCUUCCUCUGCUUGAGAUUUUUUUAUUAAACCUUAAAUGUAACCAGCCCUCCUCAAUCCAUUUUCUGCAGGAUUUUUUUGAGACCUUUGGAAGUCUCACAGAUUUUCUGAGCUGUAAUAAUUGUGGAAAAUCUUUGACAAAGGAUUGUCUUUAUUCAAGCAAUGAUAAAGCUCUCAUUGAGAGAGGUGCUGGAAAUAAACAAGUGCUUAAAGCAGCCUGAAAGUUGUCUUAAAUCUCCACCUGCUCUCCAGCCGAGACAGGACCUGGAUUUCUAAAUCCAGGAGGAGCAAACAAUAAUUAAAAGAAGUAAAUAAAUCCUUGCAUGGUUCUUUAGACAUGAGGGGGUGGGGCAGUCAGAAGAGGAGACACUGAUUUCCUCAUCUUCCCUUCUCUACACUUCCCAUGAGUGUCAGCCCCUCUCACCCUUCCAGGAGGUUCCACAUUCAAGGUCUUUUGUAAAGCCACACAAAUACAGAGCUAUUGCAGAACCAAGGACACGGGAAACACAUCCCCAGGAAUGGCAAACUUGGGUUAUUUCUUAAGUCUUCCAAUUCUACAAUUUUUGCUGUGAGGCAGCAGGGGGAAAAAAUGGGAAUGUGACAAAUCAACCUUGUGAAUGUCAGCGGUGUCAGGGAACAAGAAGAAACAGAACAAUACCACUUAUCAUUUCCCAAAGUAUGUUGAAGUGUGGUCUGUAAAAAAAAACCUCAGAAAUUGCUUUUCCUCUCACUGAAGCAAAUAGAAGCGACCCCGUUCUGCAGGCACACGGGCAGCAAGGCCUUGUGUCUGCACAUCCCUGCUCUGCCCAGCCACCAUCUCAGGGGUGCUGCAGGGAUCCAUCACGGAACACAACCCCUGCUGCCAACCCAGCCUUUCUACAUUUCACUCGCGACUUCUACAUCAACCACCACCGCUUUGCCACGGAACAGCUCGGGCUCACACCCCGGGACCCGUGUAGGGACCUACCUGUCACUGCUGGUGCUGCUGCUGCUGCUGAGGGAGUCGCUGCUGGAGGAUCUGCUCCGGGAGCCGCUGCCGCUGGGGGAGCGUGCGGGCCGGGCGGCCUGGCUGGCCAGGCGCUGCGGGGACUGCGUCCUGGACUGCGACGAGUGCGGCGAGCGGCUCCGGCUGUGCUGGUAGUUCCUCUCCGGCCUUCUGCCUCGUACCUCCCGUGUAAUGUCAUCCCUGUAGAUAUCCCUGUGUACCACACUGGGCAAUGUAAACUGCUCCCGGGCCCUAGGUUCGUAUCGGGGGUCGUGAGUGUCAAAACGGUUUGGGCUUCGGCUCCGAGAAGUGUAAUAGAGCCCGUGUUGUAAGGUCCGCUCCCGAGGGUCUCUAUAGUAAUCCUGAUCGUAAUGUCUCGUCCGAUCAAAUCCGCCCGUCCCCCGCUCAUGGUGUCCAUAGGCACUAUGUUCAUAAGCACGCUCCCUGUUAUCUGAAGCCCUGCAUUUGGGAAGGGGGAAAAAUAUUGCAUCAGAAAGGGGCAGGCACAACUAAAAGCAAAUCAUGCAAACAUUCACGGCAGCACUCGACUUAUUGUUGCGACUGCUUCUCCACUAACCAGCAAUAACCUAUCAAGCAAACAAUGACAAACUUCAAAACGUUUUACUUGACUCCAAAGUUAUAUUUGUAUACGAUCAAGCUGAGCAAUCGCUUUGGUUUAAUCACAAUAUGGGGCUUUCAUGACCAGCAACUUGUCUGCACAGGAAAAAUUUCUGCUUUCCCACGCAGAAUCCUCAUUUCAGUUGUUCUUUUUCUUUUAAAUUCCGUAAGCAAGAAAAACUUCACGUUUGUGGACAUCAUCAUUAACUUAUUCUUUUUCUCUCCAUUUUUGCCUAAGAGCUUCAAAAUUAAUUUUUUUAUUUGAAAUUUGGUAAUUACUGGAGCUCUUGUAAUUAUCCUUCUGCAAAAAUGGCAUCACAAAUUGGGCUGUAGCCAUGAAAGCCUCCAUGCAAAGCAUGACCCAGAGGUGAGAAGCUGCUUUCAAAAGGGGUGGCAUAACCCAUAGAGAAUUCCCAGAAAAUUAGGGGGGGUUCUUGUUGCUGUUCUAAAUUACUUCACCCUCUUAGAGGGAAUUUUUGCUUUGACCAGAUUGCUACACUCAUUUCUUGUAAAAGCUGUGGACACUACAGAAACAUCUCCAUUACUGAUGCUGGAGCUGCAAGGAUGCUGCAAGGUCCCCAGAACAUACUAAGACCUUACACAAGGACUGGGAACCCAAUUUUUAGGAGGGGUUUUUGUUGUGACUGUUGCUGUUGCUGCAAUCACAGAAUUUCUAUCUGCACAAGCUGCUCUUUUUCAGCAGCUACAGUCCAGUUAAUUUCAGUGUUUCAAACACUUUAAAUUGAGAAAGGCUCGGUGAUGUUCUGAGUUAGUGUGAUCUCUCAAAUAAAGAGACAAUAAAACUGACAUAUAAAGGAACACUACAAAUAGUUGAGUAUUCCAAUUUAGACAAGUAUUAGGAUGGUACAUCUUAGUUACAUCCACAAAAUGGAAGAUCCAUAAUGGCUACAACAUUGAACAUUUAAAAACUACUUCUAAAAUUCUAAAUAUAUCAGGGUAGCCAAAGUUAAUUUAAAAAUUCAUUAUCCAUCUAAUGAAGGACAUUUCAACCUUUUUUUCAACCUUCUCUCUCAGGUUCUUCCUUCAGAAUCUGUUAUGAGUCACUUCAGUAAUCCCCUGAAUCCAAAUAACCCAAUUCUGCCUUGUGCCUCCUCCUCCUCCUCUCCUGCAUCACAGCCCUAGUUCGAAAGGCAGAAAUAUUUCAGGGAUCUUUUAUAAACUGAAAAUGGGAUUUGAAUCUUUUUUCGAUUACCAUCUCAGGAAGUGCCUUCCAUUCCUUCUCCAAUGAAUCACUAGAUCCUUAAUCCUCUCAAUAUAUUCACUUUCUCUUGUUAAACUGUAACUCAUAUCAAGCUUUCUAUAGGGUUCCUUCACAUCUUGCCUGCAUUUUUUUCUCUCAAAUUAUAUAUAAAAAACUACUUAACCAGAGCAAGAGAAUGUCAUUAACUUCUACAUCUGUUUGAAAUUCAUUGUUGCAUUUCUAUUUCCAUUACCUCUUGCUUGCAACAAUGGAAUUUUGAAAGCUAUUUCAGAAUCUGGCACAGAAAUGUGUCUCUGUUUUGGUUCUUUUUUUCCCCCUUUUGAAGGACCAAGAUCAACAAUUUAACAAACUAUUGCAUUUAGCAUCCUAAAGUGUUAAUCAGUGACAGCUGAUUUAAUGAGGUCAGAGAAAAAGCAGUAUUUUCUAGCGGGUUACUACUACAGAGCUGACAGAAAGAACAAAUCCUUAUCCAUGAGAAGGACACAGAAGACAGAGGAAGCAGAGCUGAGCAGCUACUGGCUACAGUGCUUUCUUCAUUUAUCUAUUAGUACUAAGUGCUACUGGAGUUAGUGGAAAGAGAGGGUUUGACUUGGGUUAGGAGAGGGGCUAAUAUACACAGGGCAGGACAUACCAACCUUUUCCAAGUGUGGGAACACGACCUAUAUUCCCAAUUAAAUCUAGGGAGAGAAUUGUGAACAUAACUUCCCCAAUUUUGGCCCCUCUUACAGGGGUAAUCCACCUUCUUAAUGGGCAAGGGUGUCAAAUGAUAUUUUAGAUGAACCAACAAGAAAAAAAAAAAAAAAUCUUAGUGACAGGACACAAAAAAAAAAAUCCACUGGACGGAAGUAGUCCCAGACUGAAACCGUAACUCUGAAACCCCCAGACUUCUUUCUUGAGACAGAAGGCACUUAAAUAGAUCCAUAAUUUUAAUUUCCAGCCCUAAGUCUGAAUCAAGCAGCUGGUAGAAGAUCCCCCGAGGCCCGAGGGCCCUGACGCUGCUGCCAGCAGGCAUCCUCUGGCCGCCUUGGUAACCAUCCAGCCCAGUCACGUCUCACUGGUGUAUCCACAAACGGGUAUUAGCACCACGUCCUUAAAGCUAAAGUAUGUUUAAUGUGGAGCAGCAGAGAGCUUUUUAAGAGACUAGAUAGUAAUCCACUCCCCAUGGCUACUGGCGUCUUGACUGUAUACCAUCCAAUAAAUUCAAGGCAGUAGUUCUUAUCCCAUCUUUAAAAAAAAAA
Parus major (Great Tit) is the source of this 5732-nucleotide long non-coding RNA. RefSeq lists it as uncharacterized. The transcript has 4 exons. NCBI's taxonomy places the organism in Eukaryota, Metazoa, Chordata, Aves, Passeriformes, Paridae. The record is from RefSeq and is a predicted model, not a curated record.